Molecule: long non-coding RNA, 454 nt
Filed under: Olea europaea subsp. europaea
Lineage: Eukaryota; Viridiplantae; Streptophyta; Magnoliopsida; Lamiales; Oleaceae
Source: RNAcentral
CUUAUAUAAUGUAGGAUUAAUCCCCACGCAGCAGCCUUUUUAUUGUGUGUCUCUCUUAAUAAUUUCUCAAGCUGCCACCUUAUAUUUUUUCCCAGAAACUCCAAUUUUUCUUGGCUGCCAACAAUUGUAUGUUUUUCCCCAGGCUGCCAAUAUGCGUGGCUCCUAUAAUUAAGCAGCAGUCAGCCUUUUUCUAUUUAUAUAAAAUCUCCAUAUUCAGAAGCUAUAUUCCCUCCUUGCUUGGCCCGUUUCUGUGUGUAUAUAUUUAUAUAUAUCCAGCCGCAAAGACUCCAAUUCUUCUCCUUUUCUCUUGCCGCCAAUUUGUAUGUAUGUGUGUCUCUCAAUUUUCAACCUUCAGCUGCCUCUUUUUUUCCUUCCAGAAAAUCCAAGUUGCUGCCUUAUUAAUUUUCCCAAGGAGACUAAUUUUUGCCUAGGUUCUUCUCUCCCUUUUUUUUUU